GAUGAAGAACGCAGCAAAAUGCGAUAAGUAAUGUGAAUUGCAGAAUUCAGUGAAUCAUCGAAUCUUUGAACGCACAUUGCGCCCGCCAGUAUUCUGGCGGGCAUGCCUGUCCGAGCGUCAUUUCAACCCUCGCGCCCAUCUGGGCUGCGGUGUUGGGGACCGGCCUGCCCCCCCGGGGCGCGCCGCCCCCCAAAUUCAGUGGCGGUCUCGCUGCAGCCUCCCUUGCGUAGUAGCACACCUCGCACCGGAGCGCAGCGCGGCCACGCCGUAAAACCCCCGACCCCCAUGAGUUUGACCUCGGAUCAGGUAGGAAUACCCGCUGAACUUAAGCAUAUCAAUAAGCGGAGGA
Molecule: unclassified non-coding RNA, 349 nt
Filed under: soil metagenome
Description: partial contains 5.8S ribosomal RNA, internal transcribed spacer 2, and large subunit ribosomal RNA
Rfam family: 5.8S ribosomal RNA (bases 1-120)
Source: RNAcentral